This 505-nucleotide ribosomal RNA is filed under the name uncultured bacterium. Its description in RNAcentral is "partial 16S ribosomal RNA". It matches the Rfam family "Bacterial small subunit ribosomal RNA", at positions 28 to 507 of the family's 1533-position model. The record is from RNAcentral.
GACGAACGCUGGCGGCGUGCCUAAUACAUGCAAGUAGAACGCACAGUUUAUACCGUAGCUUGCUACACCAUAGACUGUGAGUUGCGAACGGGUGAGUAACGCGUAGGUAACCUGCCUGGUAGCGGGGGGUAACUAUUGGAAACGAUAGCUAAUACCGCAUAAUAUUGAUUAUUGCAUGGUAAUUGAUUGAAAGAUGCUAUUGCAUCACUACCAGAUGGACCUGCGUUGUAUUAGCUAGUAGGUGAGGUAACGGCUCACCUAGGCGACGAUACAUAGCCGACCGGAGAGGGUGGUCGGCCGCACUGGGACUGAGACCCGGCCCAGACUCCUACGGGAGGCAGCAGUAGGGAAUCUUCGGCAAUGGGCGGAAGUCUGACCGAGCAACGCCGCGUGAGUGAAGAAGGUUUUCGGAUCGGAAAGCUCUGUUGUAAGAGAAGAACGGGUGUGAGAGUGGAAAGUUCACACUGUGACGGUAUCUUACCAGAAAGGGACGGCUAACUACGUG